UCAAUUCUCUCUUUGGAUUAAUUAUCAUAAAUGAUUCUUCGACAUCCCAAUUUAUUUGCUCAAAUAUUCAUAUAUUUAGUGCAUGUUUGGUUCUGCUGUGAUAAAAAUUGAUUUUGAAAGAAUUGAUUAUUUGAAAGUAUGUUGAAUGUAUAUUGAUUUACGUUUGAAUACAAUUUAGGGAAAGUUAGUUACAACAAUAACUUUCAGUCUAAAAAUUAAUUUUAGUCUUAAAUUUUGAUCACUUCUAGAGGCAAGAUCAACUUGAUUCAAAAUCAAUUUUACAUUUCCAGAAUCAAUUUUGACUAGUUUAAAUUGAAACCAAACAUAGACUUAAUUCUAGAGUAUACCUAAGUUUCUCAUUGAAAAAGCUUGUUCCUCUCCCAACAAGAGGAUGAAUGAACCUCCAAAUCAUGCAAACUUAACCAAACUAAAUUACUACCGUCUUCGGUACUUAGUAGGAUAGAGUGAUAUUUGAGGAACUAACUUCAGGUUUUGUUAUCAUUCUUUAUAUAAUCUGCUUAAAAGUUUUGUGAUGAAAACAUUAGUAUGCGUUGUGUAUGUUUGCUACCAUAAUUUUAAUGGUUUCAGUUUACUAACUGCAGUGACUUCCUGAUUUUUUUCUCUUCUCUACACAAAACACGUUACAAUACAACUAUUGAUUCGGUUUCUUGAUUAAGAUUUCUAAACCAGGUACUCUCUCGCUCUCUAUCUAAACUUAGUAUUUUUCUAUUUUUUUAAAGAGCCAUUGAACUUCAUGAUAAUUGUACCUCUAUAUGUACUACUUAGAAUCCUUCAUCUUUGAGAUUUUAGAAUUCGACUGGUGACAUCUAUAUGGUGACUCCAAUAUUUGUUAUACUCAUUAUUGUAUUAAACUCAGUUUGCCAAAGAUGGAAGCCCUUGCUAUUACUGUCUUGGAAAAGUUGGGUUCUUCACUUUACAAAGAGCUUGGAAUCAUUUGGAAUCUCAAAGAGGAUAUCGAAAAAAUGAAAAACACGGUAUCUAUGAUAAAAUCAGUACUCCUCGAUGCAGAGAGCAAGGCCAAUAAUCAUCAAGUUAGUAAUUGGUUGGAGGAGCUGAAAGAUGUACUUUAUGAUGCAGAUGAUUUACUCGACGAUUUUUCUAGUGAAGAUUUGAAAGGAAAAGUGAUUGCUAGACCUAGAAGCAAAAAACUAAAACAGGUACUAUAUUUCUUCUCAAAACCAAACAAAAUUGCCUAUAGUCAUACAUUAGGCCAUCGAAUAAAAGAAAUCCAGAAGAGGCUUGAUGAAAUUGCUAAAAUUAAGCAUGCAUUGCAACUAACUGACCGCCCUAUGGAGAAUCGGAUUGUAUAUAGAGAACAAAGACAAACUUACUCUUUUGUGAGUAAAAAUGAAGUUAUUGGAAGAGACGAUGAAAAGAAACGUAUUAAGCGUUAUCUACUAGAUAUCAAUGCUUCAGAUAAUGUUUCUGUAAUUCCCAUAGUUGGGAUCGGGGGAUUAGGUAAGACCGCACUUGCUCAACUGGUCUACAAUGAUAAUGAUGUUCAUAAGCAUUUUGAGCUAAAAAUGUGGGUGUAUGUUUCUGAUGAAUUUGAUAUGAAGAAAAUAGCUCAGGAGAUUAUCCGGGAUGAAAAGAAUAGUCCGAUGGAGCAAGUGCAAGAACAACUUAGAGACAAAAUUCGAGGGAAGAAGUUUUUGCUUGUGUUAGAUGACAUGUGGAACGAGGAUCGGGAACUGUGGCAUAAAUUGAAGAGCUUGUUCGUGGAAGGAGGAAAAGGAAGCAUGAUAAUUGUGACAACGCGUAGUCAGACUGUGGCGAAAAUAGCAGGCACACAUCCGCCUCUUUUCUUAGAGGGUUUGAAUUCACAGAAAUCUAUGGAGCUGUUCUCUCGAGUGGCAUUCGGCGAGUUAAAAGAACAACAUGACAUGGAAUUGGUAGCUAUAGGAAGGGACAUUGUUAAGAAAUGUGCUGGCAUCCCUCUUGCUCUAAGGACUAUUGGAAGCCUUUUGUUUUCUCGAAAUUUGGGAAGAAGCGAUUGGCUAUAUUUCAAGGAUGUUGAGUUUUCGAAGAUAGAUCAACACAAUGACAAAAUAUUUUCAAUCCUUAAACUGAGUUACGAUCAUCUUCCCGCAUUUCUAAAAAAAAGUUUUGCAUAUUGUUCACUGUUUCCUAAAGGCUAUGUGUUUGAGAAAAAGUCUCUCAUUCAGUUAUGGGUAGCUGAGGGGUUCAUUCAACAAUCAAAUGAUGUAAGAUGUGUAGAAGAUGUUGGUCAUGAGUACUUCAUGAGUUUGCUGUCAAUGUCCUUCUUUCAAGAUGUCAUUAUAGACGAUUGUGGCGGCGUAAGUACUUGUAAAAUGCAUGACCUUAUGCAUGAUCUAGCACAUCUAAUAGCCGGGAGUGAAUAUGCAGUGGCUGAAGGAGAAGAAGCAAACAUUGUAAACAGAACGCGUUAUUUGUCGUCUCGUUCUGCGUUACAGUUCGUACCACCGUCACCAUCUUCCUAUAAGUUAAGGACAUUUCAUUUACUUCCACAAGUGAAUUCAAGCAAUCAUUUGCGCCAGACAUGUGUUCUUUCCUUUUCAGGCCUAAAGUUCUUACGUGUGUUGACACUUUGUGGGUUAAAAAUUGCCGCAAUCCCAAAUAGUAUUGAAGAGACGAAGCAUUUAAGAUAUAUUGAUCUAUCACAGAACAAUCUUCUUAAAAAUCUUCCGCCGGGCAUUACCAACCUGCAGAACUUGCAAACUCUAAAACUUUCUGAAUGUUCAAAGCUCGAAAUAUUACCAGAAAAUCUCAAUAAAAGUCUCCGGCAUCUUGAGUUGAAUGGUUGUGUGAAAUUGAUAUGUAUGCCACAAGGGAUAGGACAGUUGACAAAUCUUCAAACACUAACACUUUUUGUAGUGAGAAAUAAAAGUGUAAAUGAAUUGGGUGGCUUAAUCAACCUUAGAGGGAGAUUAGAAAUAAAAGGGUUGGAUUUCCUGCGAAAUAGUGUUGAAAAUAUUGAAAAAGUACUUCUUGAAAAGCAACACCUUCAAGAAUUGGAAUUGCGGUGGGCCUACGACGAUGGUUUUGAUGAGAAUUUUCUAACAUGCCCUGAAUUGCCCGACAGGGCCGAACAAGCAAACGAAAACUGGGUGGAAGAUGAGAUGAUUUUACAAGGUCUGCAACCACACCACUCGCUUCAGAAACUAGUUAUAGAUGGAUUUUGCGGCAAAAGAUUACCAGAUUGGAUAGGGAAUCUCCCAUCGCUCUUGACUCUUGAGAUCUACAAUUGCACCGGUUUGACAUCACUGCCCGAAUCAAUUUGUAGACAGGUAUCUUUGCAGAAACUUUCCAUUUGUAACUGCUUCUCAUUAGAGAAAAGAUAUGGAAGAGCAUUUGGUAUAGACUGGCCCAAAAUCUCUCGUAUCCGAAAAGUUGAGAUCCUUCCUAUGAAACCAUCGUUUUUCAAGUACUUUUCUUGAGUCAAAAUAUUUCUGCAUGGAGUUGGUUCUGAAUCUACCCUAUUAUUUCUGCAAUCAACAUUUUGACAUUGGGAUGAUUGCGCAAAUUUUCAUGAUUGAGGUCGAUUUUACCUACAGCAGAAUAUUGUUAGAUAUUACAAAGUUAUAGACUUCCUGAUACUUAAACUUUUAGUUUCUGGUUUCAUUGAAGCAAGUGCAUGAACAUAUGACUGUUGUGAGCUGUUAUUUCCAUGAGCAUAUAUGUUGUUACAAGUUGAUUGAAAUUUAUUUUCUAAAUUUUCAAUACAACAUGAAUCAAAAGUAUCUCAAACUACUGUAUAGAAUGAAACCUGUUACCUAUAACAUGAAUAAAGAGUAUCUCAGUUUAGCAUUUAAAUACCUUAUAAUACACGUGUUGGUGUAGGUGUUGCUUCUCUCAAUCUUAAGUAACCAUCAAUUAAUAAAUAUGUUAGUAAAUAUAUUGUGAGAUUUUGGAUCGAACUCUAGUAUGGCCGAAGGGUAGCUUCUUGGUUCGACAGGGUUAAGCAUGAAGUCGAAGGUUGUUCACAUGCUUGUGUCGAAGAUGCUAGGGUUGUUAGCAUGUUAAAUUAGGUUUUAGUGUUUAAACCCUAAUUUGUUAAGUUAGCUUGUUUAUUAAGUUGACUUGUGUAAUGGGCCUUGUGGAAAAAGCCCAUUAGUUAGUAUGUUAGGUUUUAUUAUAAAUAGCAUACUAGUCUCUCAUCAUUGCUAAGCGGCAAAUCCUAAUUUAGGGUGAGAGAGGUUAUUUGUUAUUCUUGUAAACUUGUAAUCUUGUUCUAAGAGAAAGUGAAAGAAUAGCAGUUAUAACCAAUUCUUGUGUUCUUAUUCUCUUCCCUAAUUCCCUAUUAUACUUUGUUAUUGGUAUCGUUUUUCACAACAAAUUGGUGCGGUGAGCGUGGAGAAGAUGCCGUCAACAAAGUAUGAGAUUGAAAAAUUCACCGGAGUGAAUGAUUUCGGUCUGUGGCGCUUGAAGAUGAAAGCCCUACUGGUUCAGCAGGGUUGUUUGGAAGCGUUGAAGGGAGAGGCAGCCAUGAAUGCUGCAUUAACGGCAGCGGAGAAGACAACUAUGAUCGAGAAAGCACACAGCGCAAUUUUGUUGAGCCUUGGUGAUAAGGUUCUCCGGCAGGUAUCAAAGGAGACGACGGCAUCAGGGUUAUGGGUGAAACUUGAAAGUUU
Molecule: RNA transcript, 4634 nt
Organism: Vicia villosa (hairy vetch)
Lineage: Eukaryota; Viridiplantae; Streptophyta; Magnoliopsida; Fabales; Fabaceae
Gene name: putative disease resistance protein RGA4
Exons: 2
Source: RefSeq, a predicted model, not a curated record